AUGGAGGAGAAGCUGGGGGAGCUGCAGGGGGAGCAGCGGGGGAUGAAGGAGGAGCAGGGACGGAGCCGGGAGCUGCUGGAGACACUGCGCCUACAGAUGGAGGAGGGCAGCGCCAGGAUGGGCAACAUGGCGGCCAGGCUGACGGCAGCUGAAGGGACCCGCAAGAAGGACUUGGAAAGGCUGAAGGCCAGCGAGGAUUGGGGCAGAGCAAUGGAGAGCCGGCUGGUGGCGCUGGAGAAGGAGCACAGGGAGCUGCAGGACGCCAUUGCCCGACUAUUGGGUCGGCCCAGCAGGACGGGACGGGGGGCAGCGGCACCGAGAUGGGAUGAGGGUGGGGAUGAAGGACAGGCCACCAGCGUGUGACAUGGGGUGGCACCACAACAAGGCCGUGAACACGAGGGACUGAUCCUGAUCCUGAUGGGUUUGUGUCCCUUGGGAAUAAAGACUGUUGGUGUCGCUGGGACUCGGUGCUG
RNAcentral lists this long non-coding RNA (473 nucleotides) under Coturnix japonica (Japanese quail). RNAcentral's name for it is "lncRNA (ENSCJPG00005004817.1)". Lineage: Eukaryota; Metazoa; Chordata; Aves; Galliformes; Phasianidae. The record is from RNAcentral.